RNAcentral lists this ribosomal RNA (253 nucleotides) under uncultured bacterium. RNAcentral describes it as "partial 16S ribosomal RNA". It matches the Rfam family "Bacterial small subunit ribosomal RNA", at positions 524 to 776 of the family's 1533-position model. The record is from RNAcentral.
UACGUAGGGUGCGAGCGUUAAUCGGAAUUACUGGGCGUAAAGCGUGCGCAGGCGGUUUUGUAAGUCAGAUGUGAAAUCCCCGGGCUUAACCUGGGAACUGCGUUUGAAACUACAAGGCUAGAGUGUGGCAGAGGGGGGUGGAAUUCCACGCGUAGCAGUGAAAUGCGUAGAGAUGUGGAGGAACACCGAUGGCGAAGGCAGCCCCCUGGGUUAACACUGACGCUCAGGCACGAAAGCGUGGGGAGCAAACAGG